Molecule: ribosomal RNA, 423 nt
Filed under: uncultured bacterium
Lineage: Bacteria
Description: bacterial SSU rRNA
Rfam family: Bacterial small subunit ribosomal RNA
Source: RNAcentral
GGGGAAUAUUGCGCAAUGGGCGAAAGCCUGACGCAGCCAUACCGCGUGUGUGAAGAAGGCCUUCGGGUUGUAAAGCACUUUCAGUGGGGAGGAAAAGCUGGUGGCUAAUAUCCAUCGGCCGUGACGCUACCCACAGAAGAAGCACCGGCUAAUUCCGUGCCAGCAGCCGCGGUAAUACGGAAGGUGCGAGCGUUAAUCGGAAUUACUGGGCGUAAAGCGCACGUAGGUGGCUGUAAGUCGGAUGUGAAAGCCCCGGGCUCAACCUGGGAACUGCAUUCGAUACUGCUGAGCUAGAGUACGAAAGAGGGGGGUGGAAUUCCAGGUGUAGCGGUGAAAUGCGUAGAGAUCUGGAGGAACACCAGUGGCGAAGGCGGCCCCCUGGUUCGAUACUGACGCUGAGGGGCGAAAGCGUGGGGAGCAAAC